Molecule: long non-coding RNA, 3908 nt
Organism: Cornus florida
Lineage: Eukaryota; Viridiplantae; Streptophyta; Magnoliopsida; Cornales; Cornaceae
Exons: 3
Source: RefSeq, a predicted model, not a curated record
CAAAAAUACCCACCCAGUCGCUCUCUAUAAACAAAUAAUGCUCUGAUCUUCACAAUUUUUCUUCCACUAAACCAACUCCCAUCUUUCUCUGUAAACAUCUUGGAGUCCCUCGCGAUGUUCGUUGUUGAAGGGGUGAAAGGUUUGGUUGAUUGUUGAAGGAAUCGUCGUUGAGGUUCAAUUAGGGCUUUUGAACACUGUAAAGACCGUGAUUUGAAAGAUCUAAGAGGUACUAUUUCUGUAAAUAUAUAUUUAUAAAUAGGUUUUUUUUUUUUGGAUAAGUUAUAUAGGGUUCUUGAAUAUUUGUUUUUCUACUUUUGAUUAUGGUUUUCUAUGUUAUUUCUUGAUUUUGGAUUACUAUAACAACUAAUACAAAUGUCUACAACCAAAAAUUAUUUAGUUAUUUAGUGAUAAACAAUCCCCACUUCUACUGUUAUGGAUGAAUCCAAAACCAGGUUCUUAGUCAACUCAUUCGACUGAGAUAUUAAAAAUAUUCUCGUUUCUAAUUUAAAGAAAAAUAACUAUUCUUCCUUUUUACCUUCCCCCAUUCUAUGUCAAUUCAAGUUGAUUGUUUAAACUAAAAAUUAUUUACGGUAACCACUAUUGCAAAUUUUUUUUUUUUCUUUCUUUUCUGUCUCUUACAGUCGUUGAUUAUUUUGAUAUAGCAGUCGUUGAUUUUGGAUCAAACCUGAUAAUAAGGCUAAGCAUAGGAACAAAAAUGCCUCAAUGCCACCUACACUUUUGAAAACCGCUCCACAGAAUCCAAUUAUGGUACCAACAAGCAUUUGCUAGCCAAAAUUUCAUGUCCUGUAAACCAAAUUUCACAAUUGUGUACCUUAAGUUUCCACAAAUCAGUUACCAAAUAAUUGAGAUCAAGUAGAUGAACCAUUCUAUUUCUGUCCAUUUUUUCAUGGGCAUUUCUUCAAACACCAUUUUUUUUAGUUGCAAUUGUUUGGUUGUUUGGAGUUUUUGAGUUCUAGGUAAAUUGUUUUUGACUUGCAAUUGUCUGUUGCUCUAGUUGAUGGAGAAGUAUUACACCAUACAGUUGCAUUACUCUGGUACAAUUGAAGAGGCAAACCAAUAUGUUGGAGGAAGUAUUGGCAUCUGGGAUGGUUUGGAUCCCGAUAAAUUUUCCUUUUUAAAACUUAAAGACAUGGUAGAGAUGGUUGGCAUUGACACUAAUAACAGUAGAAUGUUCUAUAAGGACCCAAUUGAUGGACAACUCUUAUAACUUAAAAGUGACGUGGAUGUCUUGGAUAUGUUUGAGACAUACAAAAUGUUUACUUUAAUUCCAGUUUAUGUUAAGACUCCUAAAGUUGUGAAUGAGAUUGAAGCUCUGAAUAAGAUUGAAGUUGUGGGUGAGAUUGAAACUGCUAAUGAGGUUGAAACCACAAGGAUUAAUGCUAAAACAGAUGGUAUAGAUGCUGAAACUCAUGGUAUAGAUGCUUGUCAGUGGGGGAUUGUUGAUAACAUUGAUGAGGUCUCAGUGUAUGCUCCUAGUGAUGAGCUAUGCAGUGUAUAUAGCUCGUCAAGUGAAGAGGUUGUGACACAAACUAGAACACAUUAUGUUGAGCAGAGGGAUUUUGAAAAGGAGGAUUUCUCUUUCUUUAUAGGAAUGAAGUUUGCAUGUGCUAAAGAUUUCAAGGAUGCAUUAAGGCAUCACGCUAUAAAAAAUAAAUAUGAUUUUGAAUUCAAAAAGAAUGAACGCAAGAGGGUUACUGUUGUGUGUGUUAACAAGUGUGGUUGGAGGAUGCAAGCCUCCAAAAGGGGUAAGGAAGGCAAUUUUGUACUAAAAAAGUACCAAUCUACUCACAGUGACACUUGCUUUGAAACAGGUACCAAUAGGCAAGCAAUAUCCAGGUAUCUUGCAAAGAAAUAUGUUCAUAAGUUUAGGAUAGAACGAGAUUGGAAAAAUGCUGGAUUUAUAGGACAUAUUAAUGAGAACUUGGAUAUAGUGGUAUCUAGACACAAAGUUGGAAGGGCUAAAAAAAAGCUAUAGAGAUCAUUGAAGGGCAUAUGGAGGACCAGUUUAAAAAUUUGAGGGAGUAUAGAGAAUUGAUUAAGUCUUCAAAUCCUGGUAGUGUGUUUAAAGUAAAUGCAAAUUUGGAACCUGACCACAACUCUACAAGAUUUUAGAGAUGGUUGUUUUUGUUUGGAUGCAAUGGUGAAUGGAUUUAAAGAAAGAUGCAGGCCUUUCAUUGGACUUAAUGGAGCCUUCUUGAAAACUCCAUACAAAAGGCAAUUACUCAGUGCUGUUAGUAAAGAUGGAGAUAAUAGUUUUACCCAAUAGCACUUGUAGUUGUUGAAGCUGAAAAUAAUGAUAGUUGGGAGUGGUUUAUGGAGGAGCUAUUAGAUGUUAUUGGUGAUUAUAAUGAGAUAACAUGGAUUUCAGAUAGGCAAAAAGGUCUUAUUGAGGUGCUUGAAAGGAUGUUUCCUGAGUAGAUCACGGAUAUUGUGUAAGACAUAUUUAUGAUAACUUCAAAAAAAAAAAAAAAAAAAAUACCCUGGUGCAAUUUUAAGGACAAAAGUGUGGAAAGCAGCAAGCGUAUUCCAUAUUAGUGAUUUUGAGAAAGAAAUGACCAUCAUCAAUAGUAUAAACCAAGAAGCACAUGCAUGGUUGAAAAAAAUUGAUACUAAACUAUGGUCCAAGCAUAAGUUCACACAAACAUUAAAGUGUGAUUUAAACAGCGAUAACAUGUGUGAGUCAUGGAAUGGACAUAUCAAAACUGCAAGGGAGAAGCCAAUAAUUCACAUGUUUGAAAUGAUUAGAAUGAUGUUGAUGAAAAGGUAUAAAGAGAGGAGAGAGUAUAUGGAAGCUUAAACAGGGUUGUUAGUUCCAAAAGUGUACAAGCAGUUCAAGGAACGUACUUAAGAAAAAAGCAAAGAGUUGUAUAGUGCAGGGUUCUGGGCUACAUUUGUGUGAGGUUCAACUUGAAGGAAUGAAUGAUACUGUUGAUUUGGUAAGUAAGAGAUACACAUGCAAGGAGUGGCAGAUUACAGAAGUGCCAUGUGUGCAUGCAAUGGCUUCCAUUGUGAAGAGAAAGUUCAAUCCAGAGGAUUAUGUGCAUCCCUACUACUAUAGGGAAACGUUCUUGAAAGCAUAUCCUAUCAUAAGACCUCUUUCAUUGAGGAAUCUAAAGAGGAUAACUGGACUGGUACCAUUGAUUCCUCCACAUGUUAGGAUACCCCUAGAAAGACCAAAAAAAGCAAGAAAGAGAGGUGCAGAUGAAAAACAAAAACCCAAAUUUGUUUUUAGAUAAAGGGCCCAUAUAAAAUGUGGAAAAAGUGGCGAAAAAGGCCAUAACACAAAGACUUGCAAAAAUAAUGAAGCAGGACUACAACCUAUACCACAACCUAUUAGUAAGGGAGGUAGACCACGUCUUCCAAGAGUAGGACUACAUGUUUGUAUAGGUGAUGUUGGUGAUGAUGAAGGUGUUAGAAGCAGCCACAAUGAUGGAGGUGUUAGAAGCAUCCAUAAUAAUGGAGGUGUUGGAAGCAGCCAUGGUGCUGGAGGAGUCGGAAGUCAAAGAGGUGGAGUUCAAAGAGGUGCUAUAAGUGUCCCUUCUAUUGGAGUUGCAACAGUUCCUUUUAGUGGAAGAAGUGCUUAAAAUAUCCGUAAAGGCGUUACAACUUUCCCCAGAGGUGGAAGGGGUGCAAAUGUCCCUAAUAUUGGAGCUGCAAUGGAGGUUGCAAGUGUAUCUCAAGUUCCUGACAUGUGUUCAUAGAAUAUGGAGUAUGGCAAUGCAAAUGGACCAUAAAACUUUGUUGGCAUUUUUUUUUGGCAAUUAGGAUGUUGUCCUAGUGAUGAUUUAUCACAUGUAUUGUUCAUUUUUAUUUUUAUUUUUGGUUAAAUGAUGAUGGGAUGCAGUGUACUUGCCCCAAUUUUACUGAAUUAUAAAUUUUUUGGUAAA